UUUCCGUAGGUGAACCUGCGGAAGGAUCAUUACCGAGUGGAAGGCACUUGCUGCCUAACCUCACACCCUUUGACUUGAUUAAAGACCCGCUCACUACCUCGGGACGCACUACGGCUGUGACAGCUUGUAGAGUCCCGGUGGUAAACUCUUACCAACUCUCGUCUUAGUUGUCUAAGUGGAUGCCUUUUGGAAUUAGAAAAAAACUUUCAACAACGGAUCUCUUGGCUCUAGCAUCGAUGAAGAACGCAGC
This 250-nucleotide unclassified non-coding RNA is filed under the name uncultured fungus. Its description in RNAcentral is "sequence contains ITS1, 5.8S rRNA gene". The stretch from base 202 to 250 matches the Rfam family "5.8S ribosomal RNA", at positions 1 to 49 of the family's 154-position model. The record is from RNAcentral. Lineage: Eukaryota; Fungi.